CCUACGGGAGGCAGCAGUGGGGAAUUUUGGACAAUGGACGAAAGUCUGAUCCAGCAAUGCCGCGUGCAGGACGAAGGCCUUCGGGUUGUAAACUGCUUUUGUACGGAACGAAAAGGUCUGCCUUAAUACGGUGGGCUCAUGACGGUACCGUAAGAAUAAGCACCGGCUAACUACGUGCCAGCAGCCGCGGUAAUACGUAGGGUGCAAGCGUUAAUCGGAAUUACUGGGCGUAAAGCGUGCGCAGGCGGUUAUAUAAGACAGAUGUGAAAUCCCCGGGCUCAACCUGGGACCUGCAUUUGUGACUGUAUAGCUAGAGUACGGUAGAGGGGGAUGGAAUUCCGCGUGUAGCAGUGAAAUGCGUAGAUAUGCGGAGGAACACCGAUGGCGAAGGCAAUCCCCUGGACCUGUACUGACGCUCAUGCACGAAAGCGUGGGGAGCAAACAGGAUUAGAUACCCUGGUAGUCCACGCCCUAAACGAUGUCACUGGUUGUUGGUCUUCGCUGACUCAGUAACGAGCUAACGCGUGAGUUCGACCGCCGUGGGGAGUACGGCCGCGAAGGUUGAACCUCGAAAGAGAGUAGAGCGUGAGACGNGCGACGGACGACGACGAGGGAGGAGG
Molecule: ribosomal RNA, 620 nt
Filed under: uncultured bacterium
Lineage: Bacteria
Description: bacterial SSU rRNA
Rfam family: Bacterial small subunit ribosomal RNA
Source: RNAcentral